UAGGGAAUCUUCCACAAUGGACGCAAGUCUGAUGGAGCAACGCCGCGUGAGUGAAGAAGGUUUUCGGAUCGUAAAGCUCUGUUGUUGGUGAAGAAGGAUAGAGGCAGUAACCGGUCUUUAUUUGACGGUAAUCAACCAGAAAGUCACGGCUAACUACGUGCCAGCAGCCGCGGUAAUACGUAGGUGACAAGCGUUGUCCGGAUUUAUUGGGCGUAAAGCGAGCGCAGGCGGAAUGAUAAGUCUGAUGUGAAAGCCCACGGCUCAACCGUGGAACUGCAUCGGAAACUGUCAUUCUUGAGUGCAGAAGAGGAGAGUGGAACUCCAUGUGUAGCGGUGGAAUGCGUAGAUAUAUGGAAGAACACCAGUGGCGAAGGCGGCUCUCUGGUCUGCAACUGACGCUGAGGCUCGAAAGCAUGGGUAGCGAACAGGGAUUAGAUACCCUGGUAGUCCAUGCCGUAAACGAUGAGCGCUAGGUGUUGGGGGACUUUCCGGUCCUCAGUGCCGCAGCAAACGCAUUAAGCGCUCCGCCUGGGGAGUACGACCGCAAGGUUGAA
Molecule: ribosomal RNA, 554 nt
Filed under: uncultured bacterium
Lineage: Bacteria
Description: partial 16S ribosomal RNA
Rfam family: Bacterial small subunit ribosomal RNA
Source: RNAcentral